This 1886-nucleotide long non-coding RNA is filed under the name Linum usitatissimum (flax). Its description in RNAcentral is "long non-coding RNA (LUSI_LNC007300)". Lineage: Eukaryota; Viridiplantae; Streptophyta; Magnoliopsida; Malpighiales; Linaceae. The record is from RNAcentral.
UGAUGAGCAACCUUCUUCAUCCUCUGUAAGUACAACACACUCUAACAUAUCUAUUAUUAACUUAUGUAUAUCAUCAUUAAUUGAUCUAUCAGUUAAUGUUUUGCUGUUGCUACUUUGUUUUGGUGCGAAUUAGCUAGAUGAUCAAGUACAUUACUUCCUAAUUAAGUUUACUAAAACGACCAGAUGUCGACUUUGUGUUCUGUUCCAGAUUGAGGCAGUAUAUCUAUAGAUCACUAUAUAACUUUUCUUUUGACCAAAGAAAAAUAUGUAUUAUGACUUCUCUCUUCAACCCUAAUUCUACUUUUUACCUCCAGCUGCUGAUGGUAGGGUUAGGUUGAGACCACAUAUAUAUAUAUAUAUAUAUUUAAUUGUUACCGACUCAUCAUUUUAAUUUAGUGACAGACCACAUAAUAUUCACAAAUCCAGCCCUAGUUACAAAUUUAAUUUUGGAGUAGUCAGCGCAGGAUUGAUGAUGGUAGCCAGACUGAACUGGUACUUGUCUCAUUGUCACAUGAACAGGACGACAUUACCAUUGAGCAAAAGCAGGAGGAGGAGACUUCAAAACAUGAUCAAGACGAUGAAGACGACGAUUCUGAUUACAAGAGGAGGUUAUGGAUGUCUAGGAUCUGUACGAACAGAAACAGCACCAACUGCAACAACAACAACAACAACAACAAGAACAGCAGCAGCAGCAACAACAACAACAACAACAACAACGAUCAUACUCGUCGCGAUCAAGAAGAUGAUGAGCAGAAACUGAAAUACAUAAAGCCGACAAUCUCACCUGAUGGCGAGAAGACAGUUCGUAUCCCCAAGACCAUUGCCGAAGAAGAAAUAAAGAAGUACAGGGACCAUUCUGUAGUUGCGCAGCAGUUAUCCGGGCGUCAAAACAUAACCAUCAUUCUCAACGAAGCUAAUAGGAUAUGGAGUAACAAAAUAGUAGCGGUUGAAGAAGUAGCAACAACAAGAAAUAAAGGAUUGUCAUCGUACAUAUUCACCUUCUCCAGCCAAGACCUCCGUCACUUGGUUGUGGAAGCAUCUCCAUGGUGCAUCGCCAACGCCACUUUCGUGAUGAGGAAAUGGCAGCCGAACGUGCAGCUCUCCGACCUGCUGGACCGGUCGACCAUUCCCGUGUGGGUCCGGCUGGUUGGGGUUCCUGUGGAGUACAUGACCGCGAAAGGGCUGAGCUACGUAGCCAGCGCGCUUGGGAAGCCGGUUUACAUGGACAGAGCUACUGCGAACCGAACUCAGCUUGCAUUUGCCAAAGUUUGUGUGGAGAUGAAAGUGAGGAGAGAGGGGAAUUUGACGAGUACGAUAGCGGUUGCCAUUGGGGGGGAGGAGGAGGAAGAGGAUAAUAAUGAAGGAGAAGUUGUGGUGGUAGUUGUGAGGGUCUUCUACCAAUGGAGGACUUGUAUGUGCUGCAUUAUUAAUCCUUCCCACAAGGCGACGACCAAGACUUGUUCUUCCUAAAUUAAUUAAUUAAAAGAAGACGACUACAUAUAUACAGAAAGAAGACGACUUUCAUCCCAAGAGAGUUAUUACCGAGUCUGCAUGGUUUGUUUUGAGCAUGGACAAUAUUAAAUGGAAUAUGGUAUGUCUUAUCGGGAAAUUUCAUCCCUUUAUUUAGUUUGCUUGGUUAUGAUUUUGUUGGUAUUAAUCAAACCGUAGACUUUUCUGCUUGCAACAGUUGAGUGGUCCCCAGGCUCCAGCCAUGAAAGCCUCGCACAUUUUCCUGUCGGCUUCUUUUGAAAUUUCUGCCUAUUUAGUCUAAGAGUAGUAUAUUUAAAUUUCAUCCUUCCGCGAACAAACUGACUUUAAAUGAGUCAGCAAAAAUAAAUGCUACUUCUAAUUUUUAAAUUAUUUUUUAAUUAGUAAAUAAUAUGCCC